GUGUUUGCUUUGGCAGCACAUAUAAUAAAAUUGGAACGAUCCAGAGAAGAUUAGCAUGGCCCCAGCUUAAGGAUGUCACUCAAAUUUGUGAAGUGUUUCAUAAUUUU
Molecule: small nuclear RNA, 107 nt
Organism: Zalophus californianus (California sea lion)
Lineage: Eukaryota; Metazoa; Chordata; Mammalia; Carnivora; Otariidae
Source: Ensembl